This is a non-coding RNA of Caenorhabditis elegans, 147 nucleotides long. Lineage: Eukaryota; Metazoa; Nematoda; Chromadorea; Rhabditida; Rhabditidae. The record is from Ensembl.
AUGUUUAGGAAUUUUCUGGAUUUUUCUAAAUUUUUCUGAAAUGUUCUAGAAUAUUCUGAGAUUUUCUGAAAUUUUCUGGGAUUUUUGAAUACUUUAUAGAUUGUCAGCGAAUUUUUGGAAUUUUCUGAAAUUUUCUGGAACUUUCUG